AUUGAACGCUGGCGGCAUGCUUUACACAUGCAAGUCGAACGGUAACAGCCCUUCUGGUUCUUACGAUUGGCGUACUGGUGUGUAAUGCAUCGGAACGUGCCCAGAGGUGUCUGAUAACGCCUCGAAAGCUGUGCUAAUACCGCAUGUGUUCUGAGCAUUAAAGCGGGGGACCAGUCCGCAAUGUUUGGCCUCGCUCCUUUGGAGCUGCCGAUGUCAGAUUAGGUAGUUGGUGGGGUAAAGGCCUACUAAGCCGACGAUCUGUAGCUGGUGUGAGAGGCCGAGGGGCGACACCGGGACUGAGACAGGGCCAAGACUCAGACGGGAGGCAGAAGUAGGAGAGGGGGGAAAAGGAGAGCGAGCGUGAGCCAGAAAUGCCGAGGGCGGGAAGAAGGCCUUCGGGUUGGAAAUGGAAAUUGUACGGGACGAAAAGGAUGUGGCUAAGACCGGAGGGUGAUGACGGUAGUGGAAGAAUAAGCACCGGCUAACUACGUG
This 492-nucleotide ribosomal RNA is filed under the name uncultured bacterium. Its description in RNAcentral is "partial 16S ribosomal RNA". It matches the Rfam family "Bacterial small subunit ribosomal RNA", at positions 29 to 507 of the family's 1533-position model. The record is from RNAcentral.